Molecule: ribosomal RNA, 1370 nt
Filed under: uncultured bacterium
Lineage: Bacteria
Description: bacterial SSU rRNA
Rfam family: Bacterial small subunit ribosomal RNA
Source: RNAcentral
GAUGAACGCUGGCGGCGUGCCUAAUACAUGCAAGUCGAGCGAACGGACGAGAAGCUUGCUUCUCUGAUGUUAGCGGCGGACGGGUGAGUAACACGUGGAUAACCUACCUAUAAGACUGGGAUAACUUCGGGAAACCGGAGCUAAUACCGGAUAAUAUUUUGAACCGCAUGGUUCAAAAGUGAAAGACGGUCUUGCUGUCACUUAUAGAUGGAUCCGCGCUGCAUUAGCUAGUUGGUAAGGUAACGGCUUACCAAGGCAACGAUGCAUAGCCGACCUGAGAGGGUGAUCGGCCACACUGGAACUGAGACACGGUCCAGACUCCUACGGGAGGCAGCAGUAGGGAAUCUUCCGCAAUGGGCGAAAGCCUGACGGAGCAACGCCGCGUGAGUGAUGAAGGUCUUCGGAUCGUAAAACUCUGUUAUUAGGGAAGAACAUAUGUGUAAGUAACUGUGCACAUCUUGACGGUACCUAAUCAGAAAGCCACGGCUAACUACGUGCCAGCAGCCGCGGUAAUACGUAGGUGGCAAGCGUUAUCCCGAAUUUUGGGCGUAAAGCGCGCGUAGGCGGUUUUUUAGUCUGAUGUGAAAGCCCACGGCUCAACCGUGGAGGGUCAUUGGAAACUGGAAAACUUGAGUGCAGAAGAGGAAAGUGGAAUUCCAUGUGUAGCGGUGAAAUGCGCAGAGAUAUGGAGGAACACCAGUGGCGAAGGCGACUUUCUGGUCUGUAACUGACGCUGAUGUGCGAAAGCGUGGGGAUCAAACAGGAUUAGAUACCCUGGUAGUCCACGCCGUAAACGAUGAGUGCUAAGUGUUAGGGGGUUUCCGCCCCUUAGUGCUGCAGCUAACGCAUUAAGCACUCCGCCUGGGGGGUACGACCGCAAGGUUGAAACUCAAAGGAAUUGACGGGGACCCGCACAAGCGGUGGAGCAUGUGGUUUAAUUCGAAGCAACGCGAAGAACCUUACCAAAUCUUGACAUCCUUUGACAACUCUAGAGAUAGAGCCUUCCCCUUCGGGGGACAAAGUGACAGGUGGUGCAUGGUUGUCGUCAGCUCGUGUCGUGAGAUGUUGGGUUAAGUCCCGCAACGAGCGCAACCCUUAAGCUUAGUUGCCAUCAUUAAGUUGGGCACUCUAAGUUGACUGCCGGUGACAAACCGGAGGAAGGUGGGGAUGACGUCAAAUCAUCAUGCCCCUUAUGAUUUGGGCUACACACGUGCUACAAUGGACAAUACAAAGGGCAGCGAAACCGCGAGGUCAAGCAAAUCCCAUAAAGUUGUUCUCAGUUCGGAUUGUAGUCUGCAACUCGACUACAUGAAGCUGGAAUCGCUAGUAAUCGUAGAUCAGCAUGCUACGGUGAAUACGUUCCCGGGUCU